RNAcentral lists this ribosomal RNA (526 nucleotides) under uncultured bacterium. Its description in RNAcentral is "bacterial SSU rRNA". It matches the Rfam family "Bacterial small subunit ribosomal RNA", at positions 28 to 529 of the family's 1533-position model. The record is from RNAcentral.
GACGAACGCUGGCGGCGUGCCUAACACAUGCAAGUCGAGCGGUUCUUAAGCUGUAGUUUACUAUAGCUUAAGAAUAGCGGCGAACGGGUGAGUAACACGUGGGCAACCUGUCCGAAAGAUCGGGAUAACAGUCCGAAAGGGCUGCUAAUACCGAAUACGCUUACCGGGUCGCAUGAUCCGGUAAGGAAAGGUCGGCAACUUCCGCUUUCGGGUGGGCCCGCGUCCCAUUAGCUAGUUGGUAGGGUAACGGCCUACCAAGGCAACGAUGGGUAGCUGGUCUGAGAGGAUGGUCAGCCACACUGGGACUGAGACACGGCCCAGACUCCUACGGGAGGCAGCAGUGGGGAAUCUUGCGCAAUGGGCGAAAGCCUGACGCAGCGACGCCGCGUGAGCGAGGAAGGCCUUCGGGUCGUAAAGCUCUUUCGGCGGGGAAGAAUGGUUUCGGUUAAUACCCGGAGCUGAUGACGGUACCGCAUAAGAAGCACCGGCUAACUACGUGCCAGCAGCCCGACGGUAAAGUACUCUA